RNAcentral lists this ribosomal RNA (274 nucleotides) under uncultured bacterium. RNAcentral describes it as "partial 16S ribosomal RNA". It matches the Rfam family "Bacterial small subunit ribosomal RNA", at positions 523 to 796 of the family's 1533-position model. The record is from RNAcentral.
AUACGGAGGGUGCAAGCGUUAUUCGGAAUCACUGGGCGUAAAGGACGCGUAGGCGGGUUGGCAAGUCAGAUGUGAAAUCCUACAGCUUAACUGUAGAACUGCAUUUGAAACUGCUAACCUAGAGUAUGGGAGGGGGGGAUGGAAUUAGUGGUGUAGGGGUAAAAUCCGUAGAUAUCACUAGGAAUACCGAAAGCGAAGGCGAUCUCCUGGAACAUAACUGACGCUAAGGCGUGAAAGCGUGGGGAGCAAACAGGAUUAGAUACCAUAGUAGUCC